This 459-nucleotide ribosomal RNA is filed under the name Escherichia coli. RNAcentral's name for it is "partial 23S ribosomal RNA". It matches the Rfam family "Bacterial large subunit ribosomal RNA", at positions 2463 to 2916 of the family's 2925-position model. Lineage: Bacteria; Pseudomonadati; Pseudomonadota; Gammaproteobacteria; Enterobacterales; Enterobacteriaceae. The record is from RNAcentral.
GUACUCCGGGGAUAACAGGCUGAUACCGCCCAAGAGUUCAUAUCGACGGCGGUGUUUGGCACCUCGAUGUCGGCUCAUCACAUCCUGGGGCUGAAGUAGGUCCCAAGGGUAUGGCUGUUCGCCAUUUAAAGUGGUACGCGAGCUGGGUUUAGAACGUCGUGAGACAGUUCGGUCCCUAUCUGCCGUGGGCGCUGGAGAACUGAGGGGGGCUGCUCCUAGUACGAGAGGACCGGAGUGGACGCAUCACUGGUGUUCGGGUUGUCAUGCCAAUGGCACUGCCCGGUAGCUAAAUGCGGAAGAGAUAAGUGCUGAAAGCAUCUAAGCACGAAACUUGCCCCGAGAUGAGUUCUCCCUGACUCCUUGAGAGUCCUGAAGGAACGUUGAAGACGACGACGUUGAUAGGCCGGGUGUGUAAGCGCAGCGAUGCGUUGAGCUAACCGGUACUAAUGAACCGUGAGG